This 296-nucleotide small nuclear RNA is filed under the name Octodon degus (degu). RNAcentral's name for it is "7SK RNA (ENSODEG00000023906.1)". It matches the Rfam family "7SK RNA". Rfam says of the family: 7SK was discovered as an abundant small nuclear RNA in the mid-70s but a possible function has only recently been suggested. Two independent studies have found that 7SK RNA binds the CDK9/cyclin T complex (known as elongation factor P-TEFb). Lineage: Eukaryota; Metazoa; Chordata; Mammalia; Rodentia; Octodontidae. The record is from Rfam by way of RNAcentral.
GGAUGUAAGGAGCAAUGGCUGCAACUUCUGUCACUGCACUGAUCAGCAGGGCUGAUUCGGCUGAGCUGCUGGCUAGGGGGUGUCCCCUUCCUCCCUCACCUCUCCAUGUCCCAUGAAGCUGCAUGCUCAGUUGGAGAAGAAGGCCACUCCCAGUAGAGGAGGACUGUUUCUUCCAUGAAGGGUAUAAGAGUAGCUGUGCUCCCCUGUUACAACCUAACAAAGUGGCUACCAUAAAAUUGACUUCGGGUAUAAGUAGUUACAAAGCGAGGGGACACAGAAAGUGGCUGUGAGGUCCU